This 1500-nucleotide long non-coding RNA is filed under the name Bemisia tabaci. RNAcentral describes it as "lncRNA ENSSSA1NGG003537". The record is from RNAcentral. Lineage: Eukaryota; Metazoa; Arthropoda; Insecta; Hemiptera; Aleyrodidae.
AAAGUUACCAUGGUAAAUUAUUUUCUCCUGAAGGAGAAAGAUUCUUCCGACUUUAAUUCAGUUUUUGACUUAUUUCUUUAGCAGGCAGUAUUUGUGGAAAGAGAGUAAUCAAAAGUUAGGGUUAGCUAAUGUUCUUCGCCAACAUCUUUAACAGUCUUUUUACAUACCGUUUGAUGUGAGACUGGUCUGAGAACUGGAAGAUCUCUGCAGUGUUUUUUCUGCUGUAAUCCAACAAAUUUUGCAUUAUAUGCAUUCAACUUUACUUUUCUAUAAAAAAAAAGCUGUAACUUUCUCAGGAAUCAUUUGAUAUUCAUGAAAAUAAGUAUUUAAAUAAAUAUUUACCAACUAACUCUCCGAUUUUCUGUGAAAUGCAUGUAAUGAAAAUACUUAAAACGUUUGUGCAUUAGUUUGUGUGGUCAGUGAAUCAAAAAUAUUUAAUUGAGUUGAAAUUUCAGGCAGAGGCACGGGACAAGGAGCGGCAGAAAGAGGAGACAGAAGCAACGAAAACUAGAAAAUGGGUUCAAGAAUGUCCUGAGGGAGUUCGAUGUUGAUUACAAGACAGAGUGGGAAGAGAUCCGGCCUAAAAUCGAAAAACAGGAUGCUUUCAAAGCGAUUAUUGCUGAGUCUGAAAGAAUCAGAGUCUUCAAGGAGUACCAGCGUGACAUAGAUGAAUCCUGUAACCAUCAUCAUUCUAGGUCAAAGAAAUCAAAACGUAACAAGAAAAAUAGGAAACGGUCAAGAUCACGCUCACACGGUUCCGGAAGUGACUCAGACCACCACGGACGUAGGCGACGAAGGCGAUCACACAGUUCACACUCCUCGGAUGGUUCGGACUAUCAUCACCGAUCGAGUAGACGUAAGAAGAGUAAGAAGAAGCGAUCUACGCGAGACGAAUCACCGGUCGGUAUCUGAACCCUCCCCUCAGCCCCCUCCCAUGCUUCAAGACCCAUCCUGGCCCCAAGCGCCACAAGCGUAUGUACCCAUCCUUCCGCCUCCUUCUCUUGCCAUUCCACAUCCGCUCAAAAAUACCAGGAUUUACCUGACAAAAAUAUUUGAGUUACCCGAAAAUUUUGUUGCAUAAUGUCCUAAAGAAUCGAACAAAAGGCAGUGUGGCUGCUAAUCAUUUUAAGAAGUAUUCUUUCUUUAAGAAACUUCAGCAGUUGCAACUAUUAUGCUUUAAAUGCAACUGAAUAUUUAACAUCAGUAAAAUGUAAGAAAUUCUGCUUAUUCAUAAAAGGUUUCUGAAGAAUUCUAGAUUUCUGGAAAACUAAUAAUGUAGGUCUCGGGUAAAGGUUGAGAAUGCUAAUUUCUCUCAUUUUACUCCAGCUUCAAGGAGAAAUUAGGACUUGCCUUUAUUUUAAAGUGACCUUUAUUCCUCUAAAAUCAUACAAAAAUAUGAUCAUGUAAGGAGCUCCAUGUAUUCGGAAAAUAUUACUAAAUGUAAUAAAUCAAAGCGUUUUAGUUUAUGGCUGCGUUUAUCGAAAAGAGGUACUAAUUCCA